CACGUAGUUAGCCGGGGCUUCUUACUCAGGUACCGUCAUCUUCUUCCCUGCUGAUAGAGCUUUACAUACCGAAAUACUUCUUCACUCACGCGGCGUUGCAGCAUCAGGGUUUCCCCCAUUGUGCAAUAUUCCCCACUGCUGCCUCCCGUAGGAGUUUGGGCCGUGUCUCAGUCCCAAUGUGGCCGGUCACCCUCUCAGGUCGGCUACUGAUCGUCGCCUUGGUGGGCCGUUACCCCGCCAACCAGCUAAUCAGACGCGGGUCCAUCUCAUACCACCGGAGUUUUUCACACCGGAACAUGUGUCCCUGUGCGCUUAUGCGGUAUUAGCAGUCAUUUCUAACUGUUAUCCCCCUGUAUGAGGCAGGUUACCCACGCGUUACUCACCCGUCCGCCACUCAGUCAAUCCGGAUUCCAUCCGAAAACUUCCUCUCGAUCGCUUCGUUCGACUUGCAUGUGUUAAGCACGCCACCAGCGUUCAUCCUGAGCCAGGAUCAAACUCU
This 499-nucleotide ribosomal RNA is filed under the name uncultured Lachnospiraceae bacterium. Its description in RNAcentral is "partial 16S ribosomal RNA". Lineage: Bacteria; Bacillati; Bacillota; Clostridia; Lachnospirales; Lachnospiraceae. The record is from RNAcentral.